CKGAAAUCAGGCGGGAUUACCCGCUGAACUUAAGCAUAUCAAUAAGCGGAGGAAA
This 55-nucleotide ribosomal RNA is filed under the name Absidia glauca. RNAcentral's name for it is "partial 28S ribosomal RNA". Lineage: Eukaryota; Fungi; Mucoromycota; Mucoromycetes; Mucorales; Cunninghamellaceae. The record is from RNAcentral.